RNAcentral lists this long non-coding RNA (369 nucleotides) under Lotus japonicus. RNAcentral's name for it is "long non-coding RNA (LJAP_LNC000185)". Lineage: Eukaryota; Viridiplantae; Streptophyta; Magnoliopsida; Fabales; Fabaceae. The record is from RNAcentral.
AUGAUCUGCACUCUUCCUUCCAUUGCAGCACCAUCUCUGUCAACCUUCUCCCUUAAUUUGAGGAAUUUGGAUAUUGGGUAUUUACACAUUUGGAAAAUUUGGGUAUUUACUACUAAAACUACUAAUAAUUUGAAUAAUUUGAGUUUUGAUUCUUUACUACUAAAACUGGUCCUGGAAGUUGUGGAAUCCCUUCUUGUAGUUUUCUGAUAUAAAGCCAAAAGCUAGCGCGUUAUCAAAUCUUAAACAUUUGGCUCUAGUCCUGGCAUUAUUAAGAAAAUAUCAUGGUUGAUUGUUUUAUAUGAACACAACAUUUUCCAAGUACCUUUCCUAAAAUUAAAAAAUGAUGCCUUUAUUUGGCUCUGUUGCAGA